This 404-nucleotide ribosomal RNA is filed under the name uncultured Gemmobacter sp. RNAcentral describes it as "bacterial SSU rRNA". It matches the Rfam family "Bacterial small subunit ribosomal RNA", at positions 355 to 776 of the family's 1533-position model. Lineage: Bacteria; Pseudomonadati; Pseudomonadota; Alphaproteobacteria; Rhodobacterales; Paracoccaceae. The record is from RNAcentral.
UGGGGAAUCUUAGACAAUGGGGGAAACCCUGAUCUAGCCAUGCCGCGUGAUCGAUGAAGGCCUUAGGGUUGUAAAGAUCUUUCAGCUGGGAAGAUAAUGACUGUACCAGCAGAAGAAGCCCCGGCUAACUCCGUGCCAGCAGCCGCGGUAAUACGGAGGGGGCUAGCGUUGUUCGGAAUUACUGGGCGUAAAGCGCACGUAGGCGGAACAGAAAGUCAGAGGUGAAAUCCCAGGGCUCAACCUUGGAACUGCCUUUGAAACUCCUGUUCUUGAGGUCGAGAGAGGUGAGUGGAAUUCCGAGUGUAGAGGUGAAAUUCGUAGAUAUUCGGAGGAACACCAGUGGCGAAGGCGGCUCACUGGCUCGAUACUGACGCUGAGGUGCGAAAGCGUGGGGAGCAAACAGG